RNAcentral lists this ribosomal RNA (468 nucleotides) under uncultured bacterium. RNAcentral's name for it is "partial 16S ribosomal RNA". It matches the Rfam family "Bacterial small subunit ribosomal RNA", at positions 28 to 507 of the family's 1533-position model. The record is from RNAcentral.
GACGAACGCUGGCGGCGUGCUUAACACAUGCAAGUCGAACGGAAAGGCCCUGCUUUUGUGGGGUGCUCGAGUGGCGAACGGGUGAGUAACACGUGAGUAACCUGCCCUUGACUUUGGGAUAACUUCAGGAAACUGGGGCUAAUACCGGAUAGGAGCUCCUGCUGCAUGGUGGGGGUUGGAAAGUUUCGGCGGUUGGGGAUGGACUCGCGGCUUAUCAGCUUGUUGGUGGGGUAGUGGCUUACCAAGGCUUUGACGGGUAGCCGGCCUGAGAGGGUGACCGGCCACAUUGGGACUGAGAUAGGGCCCAGACUCAGACGGGAGGCAGCAGUGGGGAAUAUUGCACAAUGGGCGGAAGCCUGAUGCAGCAACGCCGCGUGCGGGAUGACGGCCUUCGGGUUGUAAACCGCUUUCGCCUGUGACGAAGCGUGAGUGACGGUAAUGGGUAAAGAAGCACCGGCUAACUACGUG